AAGGUGGGAUUGCCAUCGUCGCCGCCGGCAUGAUCAGAACUCGAACUCGGGGUGGAAUCAACGACAUCGUCAUAGGGAUUGGGUGAAUCCAUUGUAGAGGAAAGAUGAACUGAUGAUGACAAAGAGAGAACCAGACGACGCUUAUUUAUAUGCCUUCUACGACGACGACGAUUUCUUUUUUUUUUUUUCUUUUUUUCUGAGGUGCUGUAUUAAUCUUUCAACAUGUGAUUUUUCAUGGUCGUGUUCUUUCUUUAAUUUAUCGUGACGUCAAUCAUAGAAACUAGAAAAAACUAGGCAUGACCAAAAGCUAACCUUAACCGUAUUUUUAACCAUAACCGGACCGUUUAUCAACCGUAACCGGACCGUAACCGUAUAAAACGGUUAAAAAUUGUAACCGUUAACCGUAAAAGUAAAUUAGUUACGGUUGAAAAAUAAUAAUAACCGUAACCGUUAAUUAACCGUAACCAUAAUUAACCGUAAUUAAUCGUCGGUUAACCGUACGGUUAAACGCUCGAUUAACCGCAUAUUUAAAUUUUUUAAAUAAAUUAUAUUAUAACUGUAUACAAUACCCAGAUUUAACUAAUUCAGUAUAAAUAAUUGAAAUAAGAUAUAUUUUUUACUUGUAAAAUAAAUAAUAUUUCAUAAAAUUUUAUCUCCAAUAUUAAUAUUAUAAUAAUCAUCAAAUAACCGUAACCGUAUUUAACCGUAACCGUAAUUAACCGUAACCGUAUAUAACCGUAACCGUCUUAACCGUAUAUAUAAUGAUUAAGGUUAUGGUUAAAAAAAUUAUAACCGUUAACCGGUGGUUAAUUAACCAUAACCACAUUAACCGUAACCGUGGUCAUGCCUAGAAAAAAUCACCAAAAUAAUAAUAAUAAUAAUAAUAACAAAUGACUGAGGGUUUUUCUUAAAAUAAUGCACGAAUUGAAGGAUACACAUUUGAUAUUUCAUAAGCUUAUACUAAAGGUCAUGUAGAUGUACAAAAAAACAUUAUCGAUGACAAAAAAAAAAAAAGUACAAAAAACAUUAUCUUUUGUAAAACACUAAAUUUAACAUUUAUAAGAAUAUCUGUAUAUAUAAAAGGUAUUUUUUUUUUGUUAUUUUCGACAGUUUAGAAUUAAAUUAGGAUGCCUAAUGUCAUUGAAAAUACUCUUCAAGAAUGUUGUGAUAAUAAUGACAUACAUUUGUUCAAAAGGUGUGAUAUUAUAAUACUCAUCAAGAAAGGACAUUUAGAUAUGUAGGUUUAAUUAUUCGUUAUUGUCAAGGGUCCAGCUUCGGACUUCUAAGUUAGACCAUGAACGUAUA
Molecule: long non-coding RNA, 1305 nt
Filed under: Capsella rubella
Lineage: Eukaryota; Viridiplantae; Streptophyta; Magnoliopsida; Brassicales; Brassicaceae
Description: long non-coding RNA (CRUB_LNC001376)
Source: RNAcentral